This 173-nucleotide unclassified non-coding RNA is filed under the name uncultured Ascomycota. Its description in RNAcentral is "sequence contains ITS2". The record is from RNAcentral. Lineage: Eukaryota; Fungi; Ascomycota.
CACAUCUCAAGCAUUGCUUUGCUUGGUCUUGGAACGAGUCCCUGCUGUGGGCCGGUCCGAAAGUUAGCGGUUACGCUACUGAGGUCUAGGCGUAGUAACAUUUUUUCGCUUCAGAUAUCUCGGUAAGUCGCGACCGAUUAAAUCUGCUCUGCUGCAAGGCGAGCGCACUUGAU